Molecule: ribosomal RNA, 2415 nt
Filed under: Triticum aestivum (bread wheat)
Lineage: Eukaryota; Viridiplantae; Streptophyta; Magnoliopsida; Poales; Poaceae
Description: partial small subunit ribosomal RNA
Source: RNAcentral
AUGGCGCUCCCUCCUCCCUUGCUCCCGCGCUCUUCCUGUAUUUGCAGAGGCGUCACCAAAGUCACCCCAUACAAAUCCGUGGAAAACAUACCGGAUGCCUCCACCGCCCCCUCCGCCACAGCGCAGCACUCGCUGCUUCGCGCCCAUACUCGCGCCGGCCGAAUGCAGCCCGCGCGGCAGGUGUUCGAGGCAAUGCCGCCGCGGGACAGGUCCCUCGUCGCUUGGACUGCUAUCAUGUCCGGGUACGCCACCCACGGCCCCCCCUCCGAGGCGCUGGUCCUGCUCCUGCGCAUGAUGGAGCGGUCACUGAGGCCGGACGGGUUCGUCUUCUCAGUCGUGCUGCGCGCCUGCGCGGCAGUCGGGAACCUCAGAUUUGGAAGGCAGGUCCACUGCGCCGCUGCGAAGAUGGGCUACGUAGAUUCUGACCUCUUUGUGGCAAACGGCCUCCUUACCAUGUACGCGAGCUGCCAGUCGCUGGGUUGCGCUGAGAAGGUGUUCGAUGGCAUUGCCGCACCUGAUUUGGUCUCUUGGACCUCCAUGCUCAGCGGCUACACUGAGAAUGGCUGCCAUACCGAGGCGCUAAUGUUGUUCGUGGAAAUGAUCCAUGCCAGUAUUGGCUGUGACGCGUUCACUCUGUCAGUUGCACUCAGGGCAGCUUCUAGUUUGGCCAAUCGAAGUUUGGGACACCAGCUGCAUUGCUGCAUCAUCAAGUCAGGAUUCUCUAAAAGCGGGUUCUUGGAGAACUGCCUGAUUGAGUUCUAUGGGAAGUCCAGGGAACUACAGCUGAUGCAGAAGGUGUUUGAUGAUAUGCAUGACAAGGAUUUGGUUUCUUCCAAUAGCAUCAUCCAGUGCUAUGCAGAUAACAUGUGUGAUGAUCAGGCUUUGUCUCACUUCCGUGCUAUGAUGUUUGAAUGCUCGGAAUGCGAUGAGUUUACAUUGGGUAGCAUUUUGCAUGUUGUCACCAGAAGAGGAGCUUUUGGUUAUGGAAGGGAAAUACAUGGCUACCUCAUUAGAGCAGGCCUAGACUCAGAUAAGCAUGUUAUGAGUGCUCUGAUGGAUAUGUAUGUCAAUUGGGCUACUCUUCAUAAGGGACAAUGUAUGCUACCUUUGAGAAUGCUAAGAUACUAUUUGCUGGUCCAGGGAAAGCUGGAUCACUUUAUUGUGGCCACUAGUUUGAGGUUGUGCGCUUUUGAUCAAGAUUUAGCAACAGGAAGGAUGUUACACGCCUAUGUUUUGAAGUUCAACAUGAAUUCAGAUCCCUUUGUCACUAGUUCUCUGGUCGACAUGUAUGCUAAAUGCGGUUCUGUGGAUGAAUCACAUGUUCUCUUUUCAAGAACCAAGGAUCCAGGGACAGCCGCAUGGACUGCGGUAAUCUCAGGCAACUGUUUGAAUGGUCAAUUUGAAAGAGCAAUGCAUUUGUUCAGGAGGAUGCAGUUGGAGCUUGUGCAACCUAACGAGUUCACUUAUACCUCUGUACUUACAGCAUGUGUGGCUCUUGGGGAUGUUGUAGGUGGCAUGGAGAUCCAGGGCAACUCCAUCAGAACUGGUUAUGGAACCAAUGCUUCUGUUGUGAAAAGUCUUAUAAGCUUUUACUUAAGAGAAGGGCAGUUCAAGCAGGCCCUUAAGCUUUGCUUAUCACUCUCAAACCGUGAGAUUUCUUGGGAAGCACUGGUUAAAGAUUUUGCUCAAGGUGGUGAUCACGUUGGAGUACUUAAUCUUUUGUGUGUUAUCCAACGUUCUGGUGGGGUUCUUGAUUAUCCAACUGCAUUACACAUCUUGAAUUCUUGUGGAAAAUUGGAACUCCUUCAUGAAGGGCUUCAAGCACAUGCCUACCUUACAAAGCGUGGCCUUGCUUCUGAACCAUGCAUCAGCAAUCACCUUAUUGACAUGUACUCCAAUUGCGGCAGUCUCAAAAAUGCAUUGGAUGCCUUCAGAUAUAUGUCUGACAAGAGUGCAUCUACUUGGACCUCAAUAAUCAUAGCUCAUCUAGAAAAUGGCUGUCCAGAGACAGCCAUUGACUUGUUUGUGCAGAUGUUAAGAAGAGAGAAAAUACCAACUUCGAUUGCAUUCUUAUCUGUGCUGAAGGCCUGUGCAGAAAUCGGCCUUGUAAGUGAAGCCUUCCAGUUCUUUGUGUCCAUGACCGAGGUCUACAAAAUAGAACCUUCAGAAGGUCAUUACAAGCAUAUGAUUGAGGUUUUGGGUCAUUCUGGUAUGUUCAAGGAAGCAGAGCAUUUCAUUGAUAGUGUGGUCCCUUCGGAAUCUAGUGCUUCAGCCUGGAUUUUACUUUGUUCUGCUGCCAAACAAAAUGGAAACACCAAAAUCAUGAAGCUUGCAAUGGACAAACUCGCAAGCCUUGCUCCAUGUGAUUGUCGAGCAAAUGCUUCACUGGGAAAUGUCAUCCCCAUCACUGACUAG